GGCAACAUGGCCGAGCGGUCUAAGGCGCCAGAAUUAGGUCUCUUAUUAAAUCUGGUCCUCCGGGGCGAGGGUUCGAACCCCUCUGUUGUCA
Molecule: non-coding RNA, 91 nt
Organism: Mycena belliarum
Lineage: Eukaryota; Fungi; Basidiomycota; Agaricomycetes; Agaricales; Mycenaceae
Source: the annotation of a GenBank genome assembly